Long non-coding RNA from Silurus meridionalis, 291 nucleotides. RefSeq lists it as uncharacterized. The transcript is spliced from 3 exons. The record is from RefSeq and is a predicted model, not a curated record. Lineage: Eukaryota; Metazoa; Chordata; Actinopteri; Siluriformes; Siluridae.
AGGUGUGCAUGGCGUAAGGGAUAACUGUGAUGGCUGUGCGUCCAGGGGGGUAUUCCAGAAAGCAGGUUAUGUGACAUACCUGGGUAUGUUUAAGGGGAUUCCAAAUGUAAUUGGGUGCAUUGAUGGCACUCACAUUCCUAUUAAAGCUCCACCAAUAAAUGAGGGAGACUGUGUUAAUAGGAAAUCUAUUCAUAGUAUCAAUGUGCAGGACAGUACAAUGGUUACUUGCUGGGGGACAGAGGAUACCCUUGUCUGCCCUAUUUAAUGACACCCUACUCUGAACCUGAGCCU